RNAcentral lists this long non-coding RNA (4538 nucleotides) under Zea mays. Its description in RNAcentral is "long non-coding RNA (ZMAY_LNC004760)". Lineage: Eukaryota; Viridiplantae; Streptophyta; Magnoliopsida; Poales; Poaceae. The record is from RNAcentral.
ACCCGCCUAACUCACAUCUCCGUCUUAUACUGUCUCGCGCAAUUCAUAGCGCAACAGUCUCUCUCGCUCGACCAGAACACGAUUCGCAGCGAAUUUGGCAAUAAUCUCUCGCGCCCGCUCUUCUUAUAUAAAUCCACACCCGCCACCGUAUGACCCCUCGUCUCGCCCCAGAUCCAGAUCAUAGGCGUGAAGGCCAACAGUUACCAGGUACGCACGAGAUCGCUCUUCCUCUCCCCCUGCUCCCUCGCCCAGUCUCGCGUGGCGGCGCGCUCGGCGCCCAGCCGACCAGCCCGCUUCCCCCACCGACGGCUUGGGAUCCCUGGGCGCGUCCGAGCCGCCCUAGCCCCUGCAGGUGUGCGUGCCCAGCCAGCCGAUCCGUCGUGCCCCUCCACUCCCGACGGGCGUGCCGAGCGGCCAUGACUGCGGCUCGACAAGCCGACCCGGACCCCUUUCCCCUGCCCCAUGCCCGCGGUAGCCUCCACGCGCGGCCUGGUGUGGCUCGCUGCCCACCGCGGCCAGCGGUGUGCAGCCCGCCCAGCGCGGCGGCCGGGCAGCCAGAUGGGGUGGAUGAGCCCGCCCGAGCGCCCCCCUACACGAGUUCGCCCCCUGCUCCAUGGCCAGGGCAGUUCCAAUCCCCGCGUCUAAGUGGUUCUGAGGUGGAAGAAGGCCCUCUGACCACACUAGAUCCCACUCCCUUUCAUCCUAUGUGGCUAUGUCCCAUGUGGCCCUUCGUGUGGCUUCGAUUCGACCAACCAGAUCGUGCUACGUCACCUAUAAUCCGCGAAAUAUUAUUUAUUCAAUAUAUGUUGUGUUAUAAAUAUGUUUCGUACCGUUCUAGUUACGCUAAUUCCAUAAUAACAUCGUACGUGUUAAAAUAUUAUUUUGUCAUAUCAUAUAUAUUAAUUAAUUAUUUAAUCUCUUGUUUAUUCAAUGGUGAUUAAAGUAGCGUUGCAAUUAAAAUUAAUCUAUACUCUUAAUUUGUGAUUAAAAAAUAUAUGUUAGUAUUAUUAUACCAAUUCAAAUGUUUCUAAAUAAAUACUUAGUAUAGAUGCGAUAUCUGCUAGUGAUUUUCGCGUGUCGCACGAGAGAAUCGUGUGUGUAGCCGCGCGUUAUCCACAUGCUAAGUCGCGUGUGUCCGCGCGUCGUUGCGCUUCGUUUGCGCGCUAUCGCGCUGCUCACACGUCGCGCAUGUUAUUUCGCGUGUCAUUCGCGCUGUUUGUGCGUCGUCGUCAUUCCUUCGCGCGUUCGUGCCGCACGUCUAGUUCGCGUGUUGUCGUGUGUUGUUUGUGCGCGUCGUCACGCGUCUGUAACACCUCAAAACCAUCAACAAAAAAUAAUGCAUUUAGAUUAUUAGUGGCAAAUACAGUAAAGAAUUUUUCUUCAAGUGUUUGAUCUUAUUUACCUUUAGAAUAAUUUUUGUUUGCUCGUAUUUAAUUGAUGGUUGUUUUUUGUGGAAUUUCUUUUAUUAAAAACUCAAUUUAGAACUUUGAUCUAAAAAUAAAUUCUUUAAUGAUAAUAUUUUUGGGUAUAAUUAUUAUGAAUUUUUAGAAAUAUUUAAAAAUAUUUUUAUUUAUAUUUUUGGAAAUAGUGAUAAAAAAAGAAAAAAAACAGCCAAACCCUAGCUGUUUCGGCCCAGCCAGGCCCAUCAGGGCAGCCUCCCGCGCGCCCCUCCCCUCUCUCUCACUCACCGCCACGUGGACCCCACUCGUCAGGUCCUCCCCCUACCUCUAGCCAUGCCCUGGCCAUUGGCCGAACUGUCCGCCCAGACAGUUCGCGCCACGCGCCACGCCCUGGCCCAACCCCAACCCGGCCGAGCGAACUGUCCGUGGCCGCGCUCGACUUGGUCCGCGCCCUCUUGUCUCCCUCCGAGCCGGCUUUCCCUCUCCCUCCCACUUCCUCUUCAUUAUAGACGUUGCGGCCAUCAAUGGCUUUGAUGCACGCCGACCGACUCUUCAACCCUAGCGCCCCUUCCCUUCCCCCUCUUCCUCUAUAAAUAGGACCGACCGAGCCCUCCUCUCUCCCUCCAUGCCGAACUCGCCCAGCCCUUCCUCUCUCCCUGCCCGCGCUCUGCUGACCAGAGUACCGCCCACAGAGCCACCCGGACCGUUCGCGCCGACCACCUGCUCGCCUGAGUUGCGCCCGUCGGACCGUCCGCGUCCCUGCCUCGCCUCGGCCGCGCCCGAGCUGUCCGGCCUGUCCGCGCCCGCUUGCCGUCGCUGGAGCCGUUCCGUCCCCCUCACCCGCGCGCGUGGUCAGCUGAAGGUAGAAGAUGACAUUUUGUGAUUUAGCCCCUAAACUUGUGUAAAAUUAGCCCAGAAAUUAUCUAGUUCAGAAACUAUUACAAAUAGAUCCCUGUUUAUUUCUGGCCACUCCCUGAUGUAUACGUUUAAUUGUGAAUCAGCCCCUGCAACAAUAUGGAUAUGGGUAUUUUUAUAUUUCGAAAAUAAAUAAGUUAUGUCAUGAUUCAUUGAUUUUGCGAUUUAGUACUAGAAACGUUUGCGGUUGACUUCUCAUUUUAGCGCAUAAAACAAUAGUAUGUUAGUAAUUGUUUAAGUAUAAUUUUACUGAUAUAAGAAAUUGAAAGAGGUACUAGGCCACAUUUUCUUGGUCAGGUUAAAAGUUAGAUUUUUACUAGUCAUGCUAUAGAUGUUCAUAUGUAAAUAGCUUAUUCACUAAGAAUUAGUAAAAUAUCUAUUUAUAUCGAAAUAACCAUGAUUAUGUUACUAAAGUCCAAAAAUUAGUAGUUUACAUUAAGUUCUUAGAAUAUUAAUGUUAUGAGAUUUAUAAAUAACAUUUUAAUGAUAUGUAUAAUUUCUAUUUAGAGAGGAUAAAACCAAAAGAAUAUUAUUGGUCAUAAAGAAAAUGAUUAAUUAGCUAUUUAUUUUUGUAGAAUUUGUUAAGUCAUUUCACCUAAGCUAUGCUAGGUGAAAUACUUUCGUAGUCACAUGCCCAUAUAAUUUUCACCAAUGAUAAUCCAAAAUGGAAAUUUUUAGUGGAUUAAUAAAAUAAUUAUGAUUUAGGCAUUAUUUAUAAGUAUAGUUUGUGUGAUAUGUGAUUGUUCAUGUAAUGGUGAAUGUUACGAAUGUAAUGGUGUAUGUUUAUUUAUUUUGUGUAUGUUUUCUUUUGUAUGUACGGUAUGUGAAUCGAUAUUAGAAGCUGACUGUGUGAUAGAUGGACCAAACACGUUCGAAGACGACCCGCAGGACACGUUCGAGCAAGGCAAGUGGAUUCUCCCUCUACAUCUCUAUUUGUACCCAAGUAACUCAUAUAAUAAUGUUUACUUUUUGGAUAUUUGCAUAAUUUUAUGGGAUUUGCCUAAAUAGGAUUUUUCCUAGAAUUACUAACCCUAUUCCUUGAUUUACCCUGGGAUAAAUACUAUGCUUAGCAAUUUGUGCUACUACUCAACUUGAUAAUUAUGAUGUCACUCGUUAAUGAUACUAAUGUUCCGGAAAUGAAGUUUAUAUUAUAAUGUUAACCCGAUGGUUAAACAAGACCAUUUCGUAUUAAAUGGAACAUGGAGUGCCCACCCAGGACAACAGUACAACCACGAGUGCUAUAAUGGCUCUGGCUUUGGUAAUUAGUUCUAUAGACUUAGUGCUUAGCAACCCUACCUGAAAGAUGGGCAAGAGGGGCGGCAGUGGUUUGGUGGCAGCUCAUGUUAACAUGGGGUGGUAGUCUUGGCUAAGUUACCUCGCCUAGAGGGCCAUCAAUACUGACGUGGAAACCUUAGCAGGUGGCUUUGUACUAAGGAUAUUUUAUGAAAGCCUUAUAGUGGGUCCCUAGUCAUUCACCUAGGAAGUGUUUACGGGUCCGAUCAACCUAGGCUAGAGGGGAUACACGGCUUGUGGGUAAAGUUGUACCACCUCUGUAGAGUGUAAAACUAAUAUGUGAGCCAUGCUCACGGUUAAGAGCAACCUGGACCCUCACAUGAUACUUAAAGAUGGGAAAUAAAUUGUGAUCCGAUGAUUCAUAAAUGGUUUGCUUAAGUGGUUUCACUUAAAUGUUUUUGAUAUAAUCAUGUACUUAUGUUUAAUUGGGAAUUUUGGGAUACACUUACAAUUAGUAAGUCAGGCGUUGUUAGUAAAAUAUUGAUCAACUAAAAUGCUUACCGCUUAUCCAUAGCCUACCUUGUUAAACUUGCAUUACUCCUCCCACUUGCUGAGCCCCAACCAUAAGUGAGCUCACCCCUUGCUAAUAUUUUGAUCAGAGGGUGAUGAAGAAGACUUUGCAGAUGAUGUCGAUGAGAACUAAGUCUAACGAUGCACCAGUCACCUUCCUAUGGAAGAGUGUCCAUGUUUAAUUCUAUUGUACUUUGAUGAUGAUACUUUUUAAGACACUAUUGUCUAAAUGAUGUAAUAAAGUUACUCUACUCUCUUUACGCCUUUAUUGCAUUGUCUUUUGAUAUAUUACACUUGUGACGUCAACAUAUGUGUGAAAAAUGGAUAUUGGCACACAUAUCCUAUGCAUUCGGUUUGCCCCCAAAACCGGCUGUGACAGCGUCACUUGCACAUGGUCACAUGUUGUCGUGCGCGCAGUCC